CCUACGGGAGGCAGCAGUGAGGAAUAUUGGUCAAUGGACGCAAGUCUGAACCAGCCAUGCCGCGUGCAGGAAGACGGCUCUAUGAGUUGUAAACUGCUUUUGUACGAGGGUAAACGCAGAUACGCGUAUCUGUCUGAAAGUAUCGUACGAAUAAGGAUCGGCUAACUCCGUGCCAGCAGCCGCGAUAAUACGGAGGAUUCAAGCGUUAUCCGGAUUUAUUGGGUUUAAAGGGUGCGUAGGCGGUCGGAUAAGUUAGAGGUGAAAUCCCGAGGCUCAACUUCGGAAUUGCAUCUGAUACUGGCCGGCUAGAGAGCAGUUGCGGUAGGCGGAAUGUAUGGUGUAGCGGUGAAAUGCUUAGAGAUCAUACAGAACACCGAUUGCGAAGGCAGCUUACCAAGCUACUUCUGACGUUGAGGCACGAAAGCGUGGGGAGCAAACAGGAUUAGAUACCCCAGUAGUC
This 460-nucleotide ribosomal RNA is filed under the name uncultured bacterium. RNAcentral describes it as "partial 16S ribosomal RNA". It matches the Rfam family "Bacterial small subunit ribosomal RNA", at positions 338 to 795 of the family's 1533-position model. The record is from RNAcentral.